UUAAAAAUAUUUCACUAGUUAUUUUGUACAUAGAUAAGAUAGUUGAUUCCCAGCUUUUAUCUGUAAAGUUGUCAUAAUUGGAAUUAACUUCGGUGAUUCUGUUGUAUAAAACAUUGUUAUAUUUUUAGGUGUGUGCGGAUUUUAGGCAAACAAGAAAAUAUUAGAGUGAUGCAAUUGGCUUUGUUCCAGGGGAUAGCCAAAAAGCAUCGUGCUGCAACUACUAUAGAGAUGAAAGCUUCUGAAAAUCCUGUUCUUCAGAAUAUUCAAGCUGACCCAACAGUAGUCUGUACAUCGUUCAAAAAGAAUAGAUUUUAUAUGUUUACCAAACGAGAACCAGAAGAUACGAAAAGUGCAGAUUCUGAUCGAGAUGUUUUUAAUGAGAAACCUUCUAAAGAAGAAGUCAUGGCAGCUACUCAAGCUGAAGGACCUAAACGAGUUUCGGACAGUGCCAUUAUCCACACCAGCAUGGGAGACAUUCACACCAAACUUUUUCCUGUUGAGUGCCCUAAGACAGUGGAAAACUUCUGUGUUCAC
Molecule: small RNA, 534 nt
Filed under: Pongo abelii (Sumatran orangutan)
Lineage: Eukaryota; Metazoa; Chordata; Mammalia; Primates; Hominidae
Description: retained intron
Source: RNAcentral